RNAcentral lists this long non-coding RNA (487 nucleotides) under Anser brachyrhynchus (Pink-footed goose). Its description in RNAcentral is "lncRNA (ENSABRG00000004560.1)". The record is from RNAcentral. Lineage: Eukaryota; Metazoa; Chordata; Aves; Anseriformes; Anatidae.
AAGCUGAGAGUAUUCUCCAGUUUUGAAGCAAGCCUUGAAUAAAGAGUCUCCCCAGUCUGCCUUCUUGGCAGCCUACCCUUUUCGGGGUGGCUGCCUAGUUCAGAAGGAAGAGGAGCUGAGCGGACAGGUAUAUGAUUCUUACCAGCCACCGGGGCUUCUGGCUCUGACAUGCAAAGAUUUCACUGUUUCUGAAUUAGGUUUAAGCAAGAUGACUUUUCAGUCAUAGUUUAGAGGGUAAGAAUAGAGUACAACCCAGAGAGAAUGUAACGCAAUGCAAUCAACAUGCCAAAGAGCCAAAAGAAAGUGUAAUUUAUGCCAAUUUACACUACCUUGAUGGAUAAGCCCAGCAGAAUAUAUUAACAAAUGAUACUUCUACAGGUUUCUGGUGCCAUCUGCUAUAAUUUAAUGUAUAAUUAUGCCUUUGGUACAGAACACUAAAGGAUGGUUUUAAAAACUAUAGAACAUAUCUCAGAAUUACAGUAAUUUC